Molecule: ribosomal RNA, 253 nt
Filed under: uncultured bacterium
Lineage: Bacteria
Description: partial 16S ribosomal RNA
Rfam family: Bacterial small subunit ribosomal RNA
Source: RNAcentral
UACAGAGGUGCCAAGCGUUAGGCGGAAUCACUGGGCUUAAAGCGCGUGUAGGUGGAUGGGUAAGUACCUUGUGAAAUCCCACGGCUCAACCGUGGAACUGCUUGGUAUACUGCUUGUCUUGAGGCACUCAGGGGCAGCUGGAACAAAUGGUGGAGCGGUGAAAUGCGUAGAUAUCAUUUGGAACGCCAAAGGCGAAAGCAGGCUGCUGGGAGUGAUCUGACACUGAGACGCGAAAGCCAGGGGAGCAAACGGG